UACGGGAGGCAGCAGUGGGGAAUAUUGCACAAUGGGCGCAAGCCUGAUGCAGCCAUGCCGCGUGUAUGAAGAAGGCCUUCGGGUUGUAAAGUACUUUCAGCGGGGAGGAAGGCGAUGUGGUUAAUAACCGCGUCGAUUGACGUUACCCGCAGAAGAAGCACCGGCUAACUCCGUGCCAGCAGCCGCGGUAAUACGGAGGGUGCAAGCGUUAAUCGGAAUUACUGGGCGUAAAGCGCACGCAGGCGGUCUGUUAAGUCAGAUGUGAAAUCCCCGGGCUUAACCUGGGAACUGCAUUUUGAACUGGCAGGCUUGAGUCUCGUAGAGGGGGUAGAAUUCCAGGUGUAGCGGUGAAAUGCGUAGAGAUCUGGAGGAAUACCGGUGGCGAAGGCGGCCCCUGGGACGAAGACUGACGCUCAGGGUGCGAAAGCGUGGGGAGCAAACAGGGAUUAGGAUACC
This 456-nucleotide ribosomal RNA is filed under the name uncultured bacterium. RNAcentral describes it as "bacterial SSU rRNA". It matches the Rfam family "Bacterial small subunit ribosomal RNA", at positions 340 to 786 of the family's 1533-position model. The record is from RNAcentral.